UGCUCACUUUGGCAGCUAUACACUAAAAUGGAAAUGAUACAGAAAAGACUGACAGGGCCCCUGUGCAAGGAAAACAAAAUAACUUUUUUUUUUUUU
RNAcentral lists this small nuclear RNA (96 nucleotides) under Callithrix jacchus (white-tufted-ear marmoset). The record is from RNAcentral. Lineage: Eukaryota; Metazoa; Chordata; Mammalia; Primates; Cebidae.